CCUACGGGAGACAGCAGUGGGGAAUAUUGGGCAAUGGAGGAAACUCUGACCCAGCAACGCCGCGUGAAUGAUGAAGGUCUUCGGAUUGUAAAGUUCUUUUCUAAGGGAAGAAGAAAGUGACGGUACCUUAGGAAUAAGCCUCGGCUAACUACGUGCCAGCAGCCGCGGUAAUACGGAGGAGGCAAGCGUUAUCCGGAAUGACUGGGCGUAAAGGGUGCGUAGGUGGUUUGACAAGUUGGUAGCGUAACUCCGGGGCUCAACCUCGGCACUACUACCAAAACUGUCGGACUUGAGUGCGGGAGGAGCAAAUGGAAUGCGUAGUGUAGCGGUGAAAUGCAUAGAUAUAAGGAAGAACACCAGUGGCGAAGGCGAUUUGCUGGAGUGUAACUGACACUGAGGCACGAAAGCGUGGGGAGCAAACAGGAUUAGAUACCCUUGUAGUC
Molecule: ribosomal RNA, 443 nt
Filed under: uncultured bacterium
Lineage: Bacteria
Description: partial 16S ribosomal RNA
Rfam family: Bacterial small subunit ribosomal RNA
Source: RNAcentral